This 162-nucleotide ribosomal RNA is filed under the name uncultured bacterium. RNAcentral's name for it is "partial 16S ribosomal RNA". It matches the Rfam family "Bacterial small subunit ribosomal RNA", at positions 1339 to 1500 of the family's 1533-position model. The record is from RNAcentral.
UAAUCGCAGAUCAGAAUGCUGCGGUGAAUACGUUCCCGGGUCUUGUACACACCGCCCGUCACACCAUGGGAGCCGGGAAUGCCCGAAGUCGGUGACCCAACCGUAAGGAGGGAGCCGCCGAAGGCAGGCCUGGUAACUGGGGUGAAGUCGUAACAAGGUAGC